Molecule: ribosomal RNA, 320 nt
Filed under: uncultured Glomeromycotina
Lineage: Eukaryota; Fungi; Glomeromycota
Description: partial large subunit ribosomal RNA
Source: RNAcentral
UUGAAAGGGAAACGAUUGAAGUAGUGUUAUGGGUAAAAGUUUGGGUGGAUUUGUGGGGUUUGAGGAGUUAAAGNUAUGUUUNAUAUUGUNAUUUGGGUGUAUUNCGUAUGGUUGGUUAAAUAAUUUUGGUGGUAUAAAAUGAUGGAGGAAUGUAGUUGAUUUGUAUUGAAGUGUUAUAGNUGGUAGAUGUGAUGAUGAGAUUGAGGAUUGAAGGAUANUUGGGGUANUGUUGAUUUGAUGUUGUUGGUGNGAAAGUUGUUAGGUUAUAAAGNGAUGGNAAUAGGUUAGAACGGGUUAAANNCGUUAAGGAUGUUGACGUA